Molecule: ribosomal RNA, 460 nt
Filed under: uncultured bacterium
Lineage: Bacteria
Description: partial 16S ribosomal RNA
Rfam family: Bacterial small subunit ribosomal RNA
Source: RNAcentral
CCUACGGGUGGCAGCAGUGAGGAAUAUUGGUCAAUGGGCGCGAGCCUGAACCAGCCAAGUAGCGUGAAGGAUGACUGCCCUACGGGUUGUAAACUUCUUUUAUCAAGGAAUAAAGUCAGGCACGGGUGCCUUUUUGGAUGUACUUUAUGAAGAAGGAUCGGCUAACUCCGUGCCAGCAGCCGCGGUAAUACGGAGGAUCCGAGCGUUAUCCGGAUUUAUUGGGUUUAAAGGGAGCGUAGAUGGGUUGUUAAGUCAGUUGUGAAAGUUUGCGGCUCAACCGUAGAAUUGCAGUUGAUACUGGCAGGCUUGAGUACAGUUGAGGUAGGCGGAAUUCGUGGUGUAGCGGUGAAAUGCUUAGAUAUCACGAAGAACUCCGAUUGCGAAGGCAGCUUUCUAAACUGACACUGACAUUGAGGCUCGAAAGUGUGGGUAUCGAACAGGAUUAGAUACCCGGGUAGUC